Molecule: ribosomal RNA, 403 nt
Filed under: marine sediment bacterium BB0608_AND_6.1_9G0
Lineage: Bacteria
Description: bacterial SSU rRNA
Rfam family: Bacterial small subunit ribosomal RNA
Source: RNAcentral
AGUAGAGCGGCGGACGGGUGAGUAAUGCAUAGGAAUUUGCCCAGUAGUGGGGGAUAGCCCGGGGAAACCCGGAUUAAUACCGCAUACGUCCUACGGGAGAAAGCAGGGGAUCUUCGGACCUUGCGCUAUUGGAUGAGCCUAUGUCGGAUUAGCUUGUUGGUGAGGUAAUGGCUCACCAAGGCGACGAUCCGUAGCUGGUCUGAGAGGAUGAUCAGCCACACUGGGACUGAGACACGGCCCAGACUCCUACGGGAGGCAGCAGUGGGGAAUAUUGGACAAUGGGCGCAAGCCUGAUCCAGCCAUGCCGCGUGUGUGAAGAAGGCCUUCGGGUUGUAAAGCACUUUCAGUAGGGAGGAAGGCUUGUAGGUUAAUACCCUGCAAGAUUGACGUUACCUACAGAAGA